This 57-nucleotide transfer RNA is filed under the name Rattus norvegicus (Norway rat). It matches the Rfam family "tRNA", at positions 8 to 63 of the family's 71-position model. Rfam says of the family: Transfer RNA (tRNA) molecules are approximately 80 nucleotides in length. Their secondary structure includes four short double-helical elements and three loops (D, anti-codon, and T loops). Lineage: Eukaryota; Metazoa; Chordata; Mammalia; Rodentia; Muridae. The record is from Rfam by way of RNAcentral.
UGGCUCAGUGUUAGAGCACUUGCCUAGAAAGCACAAGGCCCUGGGUUCGGUUCCCAG